GACGAACGCUGGCGGCGUGCUUAACACAUGCAAGUCGAACGGAAAGGUCCUGCUUUUGUGGGGUGCUCGAGUGGCGAACGGGUGAGUGACACGUGAGUAACCUGCCAUUUACUUUGGGAUAACUUCAUGAAACUGGGGCUAAUACCGGACACGAGCUCCUGCUGCAUGGUGGGGGUUGGAAAGUUUCGGCGGUUGGGGCUGGACUCGCGCCUUAUCAGCUUGUUGGUGGGGUAGUGGCUUACCACGGCUUCGACGGGUAGCCGGCCUGAGAGGGUGACCGGCCACAUUGCGACUGAGAUACGGCCCAGACUCCUACGGGAGGCAGCAGUGGGGAAUAUUGCACAAUGGGCGGAAGCCUGAUGCAGCAACGCCGCGUGCGGGAUGACGGCCUUCGGGUUGUAAACCGCUUUCGCCUGUCUCGAAGCGUGAGUGACGGUAAUGGGUAAAGAAGCACCGGCUAACUACGUG
Molecule: ribosomal RNA, 468 nt
Filed under: uncultured bacterium
Lineage: Bacteria
Description: partial 16S ribosomal RNA
Rfam family: Bacterial small subunit ribosomal RNA
Source: RNAcentral